This is a long non-coding RNA of Anolis sagrei ordinatus, 482 nucleotides long. RefSeq lists it as uncharacterized. NCBI's taxonomy places the organism in Eukaryota, Metazoa, Chordata, Lepidosauria, Squamata, Anolidae. The record is from RefSeq and is a predicted model, not a curated record.
AGGUAGAAGAUAAUGCAAGAAGCAGUUGCAAGGUGUUGGUGGAGAGACACCUGUUUGCUCCAUCAUUUGUUGUAGCAAGGAGAAAAUACAACACCGCCAGAGUUCUGUGAGCUCAGCAUUCUUUUGAAUAAAGCAGUGAGUGUUCAAGGAUCGGCACCUGAGUUGGGAUACCAAGCUGCAGUCAAUAUUUCCCUCUCGACCCGCCUCCCUCUUUCCUGAUUGGUCGAGAAGCCGAGACGGCAGAAGCUCAGCGAUUGGCCAAGGCGCUCAGGAGACGGCCAAGCCUCCUCCCAGCUAUAGAGCGCCAGCCAAUCAAGCCGACAGAGGGGCGGGGAGCGGGAAAUUCAAACCGGACAGCUCUGUUUUAUGUAUAAAAAGGCCUUUAUUUGUGUACACUGUAUGCUCUGCUUGGCGAAAUAUUGCUGCUUUGCAUCCUUUCCAGCUGGACCGCAAUAAAAUCAACUCGGUGGUGCUUCCUUCAA